GCUGAUCUGUACGUUGUUAUGGAUACGUCACAUAUGGAUUGACAAAUUACCUAAAAAAAUACAAAUAUGAAUCGUUUCGUUUCACAAACGUAUCGUUUUGCUUCAGAAGACAUAUGUACGUUAACCCACUGGAGUCAUUUGGAUAACUGUAGGGAUGGAUGUAACGUGUUUUUGGAGCUCUACCGUGUUUACCUCAGAAGAUAACAUGACGUCAUUUUUGGUAUAAAAUGAAUAGUUUUGAGUUUAACUGAAGAAACAAAAAGUCAUAUACAUCUGGGAUGGCAUGAGGGGCGAAGAAACAGAGUCCACGCACGCACCUCCCUCUGCAGGCCCGGCACCACAAGGCAGCUGAAUGAUAAAGAGGUACAUGUUUAUUUUCCACAUCCUGGCAUCAGUCAACGGUGACUGAACUCUGCUUUCAACACGCAGUUUAGAGGAUGGAGCUCAGCACUUCAGGGGUGCGGCGGCACUGGGGCCAAGGGGCUCGAUGGGGCGUCCAUCUGGGUCUCCUUUCUGACUGUCAGAAUCUUUGAGCCUCUAAGCAACAUACGUUCAUUCAAAGCAUUUACUUCAAAUGCACUCCUUUAAGUAAAGAAGCAUUAGUCUGGAAAUGAUAAAAACAUUCAAAACCAUCACAUCAGUUGCCUGAGUGCAAACUGCUUAUGCAUUCGUAUUUAAAAUGCACACUUUUUGUUAUUACUGGAAAAAGAGUCUUUUCAGCUGGAGAUGCUUUUAUCAGAUAAUAACCAGAUAGUGAGUCAUUUGCGAACACAGCAGCUUUCUAUGCAGUUCUUUUUAUGAAGCAGUACAAAGAAAAUGUCGUCCACAAUCAAAACAUUUUAAAAGCACAUCAUGGAAAUGAGGGAACGGAAAAGAGGUUUCAGAUGGAAAAUAAUAAGAAAGGCAUUUUUAUCAUUCCAAAUUCAGAUUUAAAGCUAUUGAGUAAAACAAGAAUUUGUUGUAUACUAAACAUGCCAAACACAAACACAGAUCUUUUAAUCGUGCAAGCUGCUCUCAGAUUUUGUCUCUAAAAAAAUUCAUAUUUUUAUAU
Molecule: non-coding RNA, 1051 nt
Organism: Misgurnus anguillicaudatus (oriental weatherfish)
Lineage: Eukaryota; Metazoa; Chordata; Actinopteri; Cypriniformes; Cobitidae
Source: RefSeq, a predicted model, not a curated record